This 75-nucleotide transfer RNA is filed under the name Patescibacteria group bacterium. RNAcentral describes it as "tRNA-Thr". It matches the Rfam family "tRNA". Rfam says of the family: Transfer RNA (tRNA) molecules are approximately 80 nucleotides in length. Their secondary structure includes four short double-helical elements and three loops (D, anti-codon, and T loops). Further hydrogen bonds mediate the characteristic L-shaped molecular structure. tRNAs have two regions of fundamental functional importance: the anti-codon, which is responsible for specific mRNA codon recognition, and the 3' end, to which the tRNAs corresponding amino acid is attached (by aminoacyl-tRNA synthetases). tRNAs cope with the degeneracy of the genetic code in two manners: having more than one tRNA (with a specific anti-codon) for a particular amino acid; and 'wobble' base-pairing, i.e. permitting non-standard base-pairing at the 3rd anti-codon position. The record is from RNAcentral.
GCCUCUAUAGCUCAAUGGUAGAGCAACCGCCCUGUAAGCGGUCGAUGGUAGUUCGAUCCUGACCUGGAGGCACCA